GCAGACGUAGCUCAAUGGUAGAGCAUUCGGCUGUUAACCGAAGGGUUGUUGGUUCAAGUCCAACCAUCUGCG
RNAcentral lists this transfer RNA (72 nucleotides) under Podoviridae sp. ctiJY10. RNAcentral's name for it is "tRNA-Asn". It matches the Rfam family "tRNA". From Rfam's summary of the family: Transfer RNA (tRNA) molecules are approximately 80 nucleotides in length. Their secondary structure includes four short double-helical elements and three loops (D, anti-codon, and T loops). Further hydrogen bonds mediate the characteristic L-shaped molecular structure. tRNAs have two regions of fundamental functional importance: the anti-codon, which is responsible for specific mRNA codon recognition, and the 3' end, to which the tRNAs corresponding amino acid is attached (by aminoacyl-tRNA synthetases). tRNAs cope with the degeneracy of the genetic code in two manners: having more than one tRNA (with a specific anti-codon) for a particular amino acid; and 'wobble' base-pairing, i.e. permitting non-standard base-pairing at the 3rd anti-codon position. The record is from RNAcentral. Lineage: Duplodnaviria; Heunggongvirae; Uroviricota; Caudoviricetes.